This 263-nucleotide ribosomal RNA is filed under the name uncultured bacterium. Its description in RNAcentral is "partial 16S ribosomal RNA". It matches the Rfam family "Bacterial small subunit ribosomal RNA", at positions 793 to 1055 of the family's 1533-position model. The record is from RNAcentral.
GUCCACGCCGUAAACGAUGGAUGCUAGCCGUUGGUAAGCAUGCUUAUCAGUGGCGCAGCUAACGCAUUAAGCAUCCCGCCUGGGGAGUACGGCCGCAAGGUUGAAACUCAAAGGAAUUGACGGGGGCCCCGCACAAGCGGUGGAGCAUGUGGUUUAAUUCGACGCAACGCGCAGAACCUUACCAGGGUUUGACAUCCUGUGCUCACCCCAGAGAUGGGGUUUCCCCGCAAGGGGCGCAGAGACAGGUGCUGCAUGGCUGUCGU